UCCUGGCUCAGAUUGAACGCUGGCGGCAUGCCUUACACAUGCAAGUCGAACGGUAACAGGGUCUUCGGAUGCUGACGAGUGGCGAACGGGUGAGUAAUACAUCGGAACGUACCUUAUCGUGGGGGAUAACGCAGCGAAAGCUGCGCUAAUACCGCAUACGCCCUGAGGGGGAAAGCGGGGGACCGUAAGGCCUCGCGCGAUUAGAGCGGCCGAUAUCUGAUUAGCUUGUUGGUGGGUAAAAGCCUACCAAGGCGACGAUCAGUAGCUGGUCUGAGAGGACGAUCAGCCACACUGGGACUGAGACACGGCCCAGACUCCUACGGGAGGCAGCAGUGGGGAAUUUUGGACAAUGGGGGCAACCCUGAUCCAGCAAUGCCGCGUGAGUGAAGAAGGCCUUCGGGUUGUAAAGCUCUUUUGUCAGGGAAGAAACAGCAGCUCUAACACAGUCUGCGAAUGACGGUACCUGAAGAAUAAGCACCGGCUAACUACGUG
RNAcentral lists this ribosomal RNA (492 nucleotides) under uncultured bacterium. Its description in RNAcentral is "bacterial SSU rRNA". It matches the Rfam family "Bacterial small subunit ribosomal RNA", at positions 17 to 507 of the family's 1533-position model. The record is from RNAcentral.